RNAcentral lists this transfer RNA (48 nucleotides) under Erythranthe inflatula. RNAcentral's name for it is "partial tRNA-Leu". Lineage: Eukaryota; Viridiplantae; Streptophyta; Magnoliopsida; Lamiales; Phrymaceae. The record is from RNAcentral.
AAAAUCCGUCGACUUUAAAAAUNGUGAGGGUUCAAGUCCCUCUAUCCC